GACGGAAGAAGACGACUUGAUCAGCACCUGCAUGUUUCAGGCUGACUGGACCAGAGAUCCGAACCGCAGUUGUCCACGUGGCUUCCAACACCACAGUUCAGUACACUACCACCUACGCCGCCGGGCUGAGCUCAAGACAGCACAUCUAAGAGCUGUGUGUGCGAGAGAAGUGGACCAGAGAGCUAAAUCACUACCCAACCCAAGAGCAAGUCAACAGAUAAAGACGAAAGCAUGAAGUAACAAGAUGAGCACAUUAUUUAGAAACAAAGAGUGACAUGUCUUCACCUUGAUGUGGGAGGCUGUGCACCAGCAAGUCUGCCGAGGUUUCUCAGAGAGCAAACAAUUGC
Long non-coding RNA from Tupaia belangeri chinensis (Chinese tree shrew), 347 nucleotides. RefSeq lists it as uncharacterized. NCBI's taxonomy places the organism in Eukaryota, Metazoa, Chordata, Mammalia, Scandentia, Tupaiidae. The transcript has 3 exons. The record is from RefSeq and is a predicted model, not a curated record.